Molecule: ribosomal RNA, 395 nt
Filed under: uncultured bacterium
Lineage: Bacteria
Description: partial 16S ribosomal RNA
Rfam family: Bacterial small subunit ribosomal RNA
Source: RNAcentral
AUACGUAGGGUGCGAGCGUUAAUCGGAAUUACUGGGCGUAAAGCGUGCGCAGGCGGUGAUGUAAGACAGAUGUGAAAUGCCCGGGCUCAACCUGGGACCUGCAUUUGUGACUGCAUCGCUAGAGGACGGUAGAGGGGGAUGGAAUUCCGCGUGUAGCAGUGAAAUGCGUAGAUAUGCGGAGGAACACCGAUGGCGAAGGCAAUCCCCUGGACCUGUACUGACGCUCAUGCACGAAAGCGUGGGGAGCAAACAGGAUUAGAUACCCUGGUAGUCCACGCCCUAAACGAUGUCAACUGGUUGUUGGGUCUUCACUGACUCAGUAACGAAGCUAACGCGUGAAGUUGACCGCCUGGGGAGUACGGCCGCAAGGUUGAAACUCAAAUGAAUUGGCGGGG